AGAGUUUGAUCAUGGCUCAGAACGAACGCUGGCGGCAUGGAUUAGGCAUGCAAGUCGAAGAUAGAUCAAUCGCAAGAACGAUCGAGAGUGGCGAAAGGGUGAGUAACACGUGAGUAACUGCCCCCAAGUCGGGAAUAACCAGCCGAAAGGCUGGCUAAUACCGGAUGUGAAGCGCAGUCGCAUGGCCUGUUCUUUAAAGAUUCAUCGCUUGGGGAUAGGCUCGCGUCCCAUUAGCUGUUGGUAGGGUAAUGGCCUACCAAGGCGAUGAUGGGUAGCUGGUCUGAGAGGACGAUCACCACACUGGGACUGAGACACUGCCCAGACUCCUACGGGAGGCUGCAGUCGAGAAUCUUCGCAAUGCGCGAAAGCGUGACGGAGCAAUGCCGCGUGCAGGAUGAAGGCCUUCGGGUCGUAACUGCUGUCACCGGGGAAGAAUACAUGACGGUACCCGGAGAGGAAGCCACGGCUAACUCGUGCCAGCAGCCGCGGUAA
This 492-nucleotide ribosomal RNA is filed under the name uncultured Bacteroidota bacterium. RNAcentral describes it as "bacterial SSU rRNA". It matches the Rfam family "Bacterial small subunit ribosomal RNA", at positions 8 to 523 of the family's 1533-position model. The record is from RNAcentral. Lineage: Bacteria; Pseudomonadati; Bacteroidota.